Molecule: ribosomal RNA, 819 nt
Filed under: Streptomyces sp.
Lineage: Bacteria; Bacillati; Actinomycetota; Actinomycetes; Kitasatosporales; Streptomycetaceae
Description: bacterial SSU rRNA
Rfam family: Bacterial small subunit ribosomal RNA
Source: RNAcentral
UGCAAGUCGAACGAUGAACCACUUCGGUGGGGAUUAGUGGCGAACGGGUGAGUAACACGUGGGCAAUCUGCCCUGCACUCUGGGACAAGCCCUGGAAACGGGGUCUAAUACCGGAUAUUGACCUUCACGGGCAUCUGUGAGGUUCGAAAGCUCCGGCGGUGCAGGAUGAGCCCGCGGCCUAUCAGCUUGUUGGUGAGGUAAUGGCUCACCAAGGCGACGACGGGUAGCCGGCCUGAGAGGGCGACCGGCCACACUGGGACUGAGACACGGCCCAGACUCCUACGGGAGGCAGCAGUGGGGAAUAUUGCACAAUGGGCGAAAGCCUGAUGCAGCGACGCCGCGUGAGGGAUGACGGCCUUCGGGUUGUAAACCUCUUUCAGCAGGGAAGAAGCGAAAGUGACGGUACCUGCAGAAGAAGCGCCGGCUAACUACGUGCCAGCAGCCGCGGUAAUACGUAGGGCGCAAGCGUUGUCCGGAAUUAUUGGGCGUAAAGAGCUCGUAGGCGGCUUGUCACGUCGGUUGUGAAAGCCCGGGGCUUAACCCCGGGUCUGCAGUCGAUACGGGCAGGCUAGAGUUCGGUAGGGGAGAUCGGAAUUCCUGGUGUAGCGGUGAAAUGCGCAGAUAUCAGGAGGAACACCGGUGGCGAAGGCGGAUCUCUGGGCCGAUACUGACGCUGAGGAGCGAAAGCGUGGGGAGCGAACAGGAUUAGAUACCCUGGUAGUCCACGCCGUAAACGGUGGGCACUAGGUGUGGGCAACAUUCCACGUUGUCCGUGCCGCAGCUAACGCAUUAAGUGCCCCGCCUGGGGAGUACGGCCGC